Vicia faba (fava bean) is the source of this 300-nucleotide non-coding RNA. NCBI's taxonomy places the organism in Eukaryota, Viridiplantae, Streptophyta, Magnoliopsida, Fabales, Fabaceae. The record is from the annotation of a GenBank genome assembly.
AUGGACAAGGAUGUUAGAACUGUGGUUAAAAUCUCAAUUCUGGAUGGUAUUAAUUAUGACAGUUGGAAACCUCAUAUGGAAACCUUUAUAAAAUCCUUGGGUUACAAGGCCUGGAAAAAAGUUAUUAAAGGACGGGAUCCUCCAAAAAUUUUGGAUGCAGAAGGAAAGGCCAUUGACGUGUUAAAACCUGAAGAAGAAUGGAAUGAUGCUGAUGAGAUAUCAGCUCAAGGAAACGCCAAAGCAUUAAAUUCCAUAUUUAGUGGAGUGGAUAAGAAUAUCUUCAAGAUGAUUAAAAAUUGA